Molecule: long non-coding RNA, 699 nt
Organism: Plodia interpunctella (Indianmeal moth)
Lineage: Eukaryota; Metazoa; Arthropoda; Insecta; Lepidoptera; Pyralidae
Exons: 2
Source: RefSeq, a predicted model, not a curated record
GGCUUAUUGUUAACAGAAUUUCACAUUGGACAAUAAUACCCAACACGGUAAUGGGUAUCGAAGAUUAUUAGUGAUUUAUGUAUGUAACAAUGUUUACGGAGGAUCUCGACGAUAUCCUUAAAACUACAAGCUGAUAAUUAUUGUGGUUGUCGUUGCGUCACAAUGGCGCACCGUGACUGGUGACAUGCGUCGCACUGUGCCAGUGUACAAGUAAGGAGACUAGCGCUGCUGCGUGCUCUUGGCGAUCUGCUCCUUGAGCAUGAGGAUGCUGGAGCGCUGCUCGGGCGGCAGCAGCGAGAUCUGCUCGUCCGACAGCUGCAGCACCUGCAUUAUCAGCGCCGCCUGCAACAUCGCGUGAACAUUGCAACAACAUCAUGUAAACAGUCUUCAGCGUCUCCUAGUGUUCUUUGGCCACGUAGCGCCUCGUGAACAGCCUUGAGAAGCUCAUCCUGCUGGGUUAUGUUCCUGGACGUCAAAGUCAAGGAUGAACACCAUUUAGAUGGACGCAGCAAAUUCAAGACGAUAUGCUGGUCACGACCCUCAUGAGGAUAUAACUAUGAUGAUGAAUGUAAACAUUCAAUUCAGACAUUUACACAAUAAGUAUAAUUACGAUCAGCCAAUAUGCCAAUAUGAAUUUAAUAUUCCUUGGAGGCUGCGGUGAAGAUAUUUUUAAGUAAAUUUUUAACGUCAAUAAGUAAC